This 466-nucleotide ribosomal RNA is filed under the name uncultured bacterium. RNAcentral's name for it is "partial 16S ribosomal RNA". It matches the Rfam family "Bacterial small subunit ribosomal RNA", at positions 29 to 507 of the family's 1533-position model. The record is from RNAcentral.
ACGCACGCUGGCGGCGUGCUUAACACCUGCAAGUCGAACGGAAAGGCCCUGCUUUUGUGGGGUGCUCGAGUGGCGAACGGGUGAGUAACACGUGAGUAACCUGCCCUUGACUUUGGGAUAACUUCAGGAAACUGGGGCUAAUACCGGAUAGGAGCUCCUGCUGCAUGGUGGGGGUUGGAAAGUUUCGGCGGUUGGGGAUGGACUCGCGGCUUAUCAGCUUGUUGGUGGGUAGUGGCUUACCAAGGCUUUGACGGGUAGCCGGCCUGAGAGGGUGACCGGCCACAUUGGGACUGAGAUACGGCCCAGACUCCUACGGGAGGCAGCAGUGGGGAAUAUUGCACAAUGGGCGGAAGCCUGAUGCAGCAACGCCGCGUGCGGGAUGACGGCCUUCGGGUUGUAAACCGCUUUCGCCUGUGACGAAGCGUGAGUGACGGUAAUGGGUAAAGAAGCACCGGCUAACUACGUG